AUUGAACGCUAGCGGGAUGCUUUACACAUGCAAGUCGAACGGCAGCGCGGACUUCGGUCUGGCGGCGAGUGGCGAACGGGUGAGUAAUGUAUCGGAACGUGCCCAGUAGCGGGGGAUAACUACGCGAAAGCGUAGCUAAUACCGCAUACGCCCUACGGGGGAAAGCGGGGGAUCGUAAGACCUUGCACUAUUGCAGCGGCCGAUAUCGGAUUAGCUAGUUGGUGAGGUAACGGCUCACCAAGGCGACGAUCCGUAGCUGGUUUGAGAGGACGACCAGCCACACUGGGACUGAGACACGGCCCAGACUCCUACGGGAGGCAGCAGUGGGGAAUUUUGGACAAUGGGGGCAACCCUGAUCCAGCCAUCCCGCGUGUGCGAUGAAGGCCUUCGGGUUGUAAAGCACUUUUGGCAGGAAAGAAACGUCGCGGGCUAAUACCCCGUGGAACUGACGGUACCUGCAGAAUAAGCACCGGCUAACUACGUG
Molecule: ribosomal RNA, 484 nt
Filed under: uncultured bacterium
Lineage: Bacteria
Description: partial 16S ribosomal RNA
Rfam family: Bacterial small subunit ribosomal RNA
Source: RNAcentral